Molecule: small nuclear RNA, 185 nt
Organism: Phacochoerus africanus (Common warthog)
Lineage: Eukaryota; Metazoa; Chordata; Mammalia; Artiodactyla; Suidae
Product: U2 spliceosomal RNA
Exons: 1
Source: RefSeq, a predicted model, not a curated record
AUCGCUUCUUGGCCUUUUGGCUAAGAUCAAGUGUGAAAUCCAUGUGUCUUGUGUCUCAAGACUUUUUGUAAAAAAUUUUUUAAUAUAUAUAUUUUUUUCUUUUUGGCUGCCCCACGGCAUAUGGAGUUCCUGGGCCAGGGAUUAGAUCCGACCUGGGGCAAUGCUGGAUCCCUAUCCCACUGUGC